AUUGAACGCUGGCGGCAGGCCUAACACAUGCAAGUCGAGCGGCAGCGGGAAAGUAGCUUGCUACUUUUGCCGGCGAGCGGCGGACGGGUGAGUAAUGCCUGGGAAAUUGCCCAGUCGAGGGGGAUAACAGUUGGAAACGACUGCUAAUACCGCAUACGCCCUACGGGGGAAAGCAGGGGACCUUCGGGCCUUGCGCGAUUGGAUAUGCCCAGGUGGGAUUAGCUUGUUGGUGAGGUAAUGGCUCACCAAGGCGACGAUCCCUAGCUGGUCUGAGAGGAUGAUCAGCCACACUGGAACUGAGACACGGUCCAGACUCCUACGGGAGGCAGCAGUGGGGAAUAUUGCACAAUGGGGGAAACCCUGAUGCAGCCAUGCCGCGUGUGUGAAGAAGGCCUUCGGGUUGUAAACUGCUUUUGUACGGAACGAAAAGCCUGGGGCUAAUAUCCCCGGGUCAUGACGGUACCGUAAGAAUAAGCACCGGCUAACUACGUG
Molecule: ribosomal RNA, 492 nt
Filed under: uncultured bacterium
Lineage: Bacteria
Description: bacterial SSU rRNA
Rfam family: Bacterial small subunit ribosomal RNA
Source: RNAcentral